RNAcentral lists this ribosomal RNA (513 nucleotides) under uncultured bacterium. RNAcentral's name for it is "partial 16S ribosomal RNA". It matches the Rfam family "Bacterial small subunit ribosomal RNA", at positions 28 to 523 of the family's 1533-position model. The record is from RNAcentral.
GACGAACGCUGGCGGCAUGCCCAAUACAUGCAAGUCGAACGAACAGAUGAAGUGCUUGCACUUCUGACGUUAGCGGCGAACGGGUGAGUAACACGUAAGGAAUCUACCUAUAAGCGGGGGAUAACAUUCGGAAACGGGUGCUAAUACCGCAUAAUAUCUUCUUCCGCAUGGAAGAAGAUUGAAAGACGGCUCUGCUGUCACUUAUAGAUGACCUUGCGGUGCAGUAGUUAGUUGGGGGGGUAACGGCCUACCAAGACGAUGAUGCAUAGCCGACAUGAGAGGGUGAUCGGCCACAUUGGGACUGGGACACGGCCCAAACUCCUACGGGAGGCAGCAGUAGGGAAUCUUCCGCAAUGGGCGAAAGCCUGACGGAGCAAUGCCGCGUGAGUGAAGAGGGCCUUCGGGUCGUAAAACUCUGUUAUAAGAGAAGAACAAAUUGUAGAGUAACUGCUACAGUCUUGACGGUAUCUUAUCAGAAAGCCACGGCUAACUACGUGCCAGCCGCCGCCGUAA